CGGACGGGUGAGUAAUGUCUGGGAAACUGCCUGAUGGAGGGGGAUAACUACUGGAAACGGUAGCUAAUACCGCAUAACGUCGCAAGACCAAAGAGGGGGACCUUCGGGCCUCUUGCCAUCGGAUGUGCCCAGAUGGGAUUAGCUAGUAGGUGGGGUAACGGCUCACCUAGGCGACGAUCCCUAGCUGGUCUGAGAGGACGACCAGCCACACUGGAACUGAGACACGGUCCAG
This 232-nucleotide ribosomal RNA is filed under the name uncultured bacterium. RNAcentral's name for it is "partial 16S ribosomal RNA". It matches the Rfam family "Bacterial small subunit ribosomal RNA", at positions 99 to 334 of the family's 1533-position model. The record is from RNAcentral.